RNAcentral lists this long non-coding RNA (628 nucleotides) under Homo sapiens (human). RNAcentral describes it as "LHRI_LNC89.1". Lineage: Eukaryota; Metazoa; Chordata; Mammalia; Primates; Hominidae. The record is from RNAcentral.
AGCUCGGCCUCCCAGAGUGCUGGGAUUACAGGUGUGAGCCACUGUGCCUGGUCUGCAUGCAAUUUUGAAGGAAGAUCUCUAUGGCUUACUUUGGAAAAUGGUUUGUUGGAAGCUGGUCUAGAUAAAGGGACCCCUGUUGAGCAAGCAAUUCCAAGAUCCAGCCUCAAAACAAUGGGAACUGGAGUAGGGUCUGGUAGUCGUGAUGAAGAAAUGGGGAGAGAUUUGAGAGCUGUUCUGGAGCCAGAAUUAGCAGAACUUGGCCAAAAUUGGGUGCAGCAAGUGAGAAAGAGAGCACUCAAGGAGGAUGUUGUUUCUGGCUUGGAUGAUAGAUGGUGCCAGUUCCUUGCAAUGGAGGAGAAUAGAAGAGUCCUAUUUAGGGGAAAAAUGGAGAGUCUGUUUUGGAUGCUCUGGGUCUGAGGUGCUCCAAUCUCAGCUGUUCUGUGUGUGCAAAUGUGUGUGAGUGUAUAGGUACUUGCACAAGUGUCUAACACAUUCCAGGCCCUUACAUCUGAUAACAGUGUGUUCUCAAUGAUGAACUGGACAAUCUAUUGAUAGUUCCACCCCUUGAAGGCUCUAGCAACCCUUGUCCAGGGCCUGGAAGGGUUAAUUGAGGUGGAGAAGGGAGGAU